GGAUUUAUAGCUCAGUAGGUAGAGCACCCGCCUCUUAAGCGGUAGGUCCCGGGUUCGAUCCCCGGUGAAUCCACCA
Molecule: transfer RNA, 76 nt
Filed under: bacterium
Lineage: Bacteria
Also listed under: 1 other name
Description: tRNA-Lys
Rfam family: tRNA
About the family: Transfer RNA (tRNA) molecules are approximately 80 nucleotides in length. Their secondary structure includes four short double-helical elements and three loops (D, anti-codon, and T loops).
Source: RNAcentral